Non-coding RNA from Vicugna pacos (alpaca), 16331 nucleotides. The record is from RefSeq and is a predicted model, not a curated record. NCBI's taxonomy places the organism in Eukaryota, Metazoa, Chordata, Mammalia, Artiodactyla, Camelidae.
CCCGCUGCCGGGUUCGAGCCCUUUCCCAGGCGGGAGCAGGCUCCCGACCGGAAGCCGCUCUGCGUGAGGCUCAGUUCCCCGGCCAGGCGACCCUGGCCCCGCCCCGGUUGCUAGGUGACGAGGGGGCGCUUCGCUCCGGCGGGAACAUGGCGACGUCUCUGGGGACAACUCCCGGGGGGACGACCCCUACGGGGUUGACUCCAGUGGGAACCACGCCCGAGUCAGAGAAAGGUGCUGAAUUCCAGGAGCGUGAGAAGAUUCUGUCUCCAGAUUUUCUUUCAGUUGCACAAAUCACUGAAAUGCUGGCAGAGGAUGUAGAUGGAGUUCAACAGAAACUGCAAAAGUUUUUGAAUUUCAAAAAUCUUCAAACCUGUUUAAAGGAAGCCAGUCUACUAGAUUAUUAUGUAUCUGGAUUUUUGUGGGCUAGAGGAAUGGACUUUUCCAUUAUUCAGCAUUCAAAAUUUAUGACUUUACUAGAUAUGUUACUUCAUAAUCUUAGAACACUGCAUAUGUCAUUAGAAGACAGCAUAAAAUGGCUUGGAGAAGUUAUGGCUGAAAUAGGGCCAUCCCGUUCACAAAAAUAUGAGGAAUGGAAUACCUUUGAUGUAAAACAAGCUAAUGCGAUUGUUGAUUACUUAAAAAUCAGCUUAUUUCAGCACUACAAGCUGUAUGAGUUUCUGUUCUACUCUGCCAGGGAAGAAAUCUUGAUAGGAACUGAGCAAGUCAUAGAGGUUGUGAAGCCUCCAGGGCAUCCUUUCCCUGAUCCUCUAGAAGAAGGAAUCGCAUUUGGUAUUUACUCAGCAUUCAUAGAGCCACCUCCAACAGUGGACACAGAAAUGAAGGGGUUGAAUCCAGAACAAGGCCCCGAAGAGUCCCAGCCAAAAGCCGGUAUUUCAGAGACCGAUCCUUUAGUUGGUUUCACCAUUGAAGAUGUAAAAUCAGCGCUGGGUCAAGUCACAAAUGACAUUUUAAUCGGCCUUCAGACCGAGAUAAACGAAAAGCUGCAAAUACAGGAAGAGGCCUUUAAUGCACGAAUAGAAAAAUUGAAAAAGGCCUGAGGACUCGAAACAAGGAGAGGGAUGCUAAACUUCACAGAAACAAACAAACCCAACCGGAAUAAUAGGCUCUCUAGAGCACCGAGUCUCCUUCGUUUAGUUGGGAGAUGAGAACCGAGCCCCACUUUUUAUUAGCCUAACUAAUUAGAAAAGUAUUGGCCCCACUUUUGCUAUCUCUGCCCUCUCCCAGCCUCUGAAUUUAUAGCACCAUGUGUAAUAAGAACGUUUUGUAUGUAAGAGUUUGGAGAAUUAUAUAUAAAAAUACAAUUACUUUUACAAUACUUCUUUGACAUGUUGACUAAUAAAAUGCUCUUCGUCCUCAAACAGAGUGAAGCCAACUUUUUAAAUAAAGAAAAAUAAUAAUAAUUUUAUCCAUGUUGACCCAAAUGAACUGCCCCAUUCCUGAAGCCUUGUGAACAGAGACCACCACCACACUGCUGAGGACAAAACUUGCUAAACAACAGCAAUUCAAAAGAAUAUACUAGGAGUUUUUUCCUCCUUAAAUCAUUUGGUUUUCUUAUUUAAACGUUUCAGUGUGAAACCAAUUUUCUGAAAUUAUAUAAUGCAGUUUGAAGCACGUUAAUUUAUUCUGCACUGUAUUUGUUAUUUCUAAUCUUGUUACUCUCCCCGGAGAAUACAUGACCUAUAUAAAAAGAAGCAAUGUAUAAAUGGUUAUUAAAGACCAACCUAUAUAUAGAUUGUAAAAAUCUUACAUACAAAUCAAACUCACAGAGCUCUUAAAAUUAACCAUUAUAUUGCAGUAGAAUAAUUGAAAGCAUCUCAAGCCUUUAAAUACCUUUAUUAAAGUAUAAUUUCAAAAGAAAAUAUCUAUUCGCCAAUUGAUUGUCCCUAGUUGGACAAAUUAAUUACUAGCUAGGCCCUUUACAAACAGAAUAUUCUAGAAUGGAGAACAUUGCUAGGAGGGGACCAUUCCUUCAAGAAGUUUCCAGGUUAUACUGGAACCAGAUGUAUUUGCACCUGGGUGGCACUUAGCUGAAUAUGUUCUGUCCGUACUCUGACCUUGGGCUAUAACCUCACUUGCUCCAUCAGUACCAAAAGGAUUGCCCAAAAUGUAUUCAUUUGGGGCAGAGACAAAUCCGAUGGCAUUUGGUAAUUUUCUAACUAUGCUGAUCACCAAACUUAAGAGAAGUGCUUAAGAUGAAACCAUGUCUAUCAUCAUUGCAGUUCCAAGUCUGGAAGACCUGGAGAUCUCGUGCUGAGAUGUUUCUUCCUUGAGCUGUCCUUCCUAAUCGAAAGUGUCGAUGGCCACAGGAGAUCAACAGGAGAGCUCACAAGUCUUAAUGUUGUGAAGGAGUCUUUUUCCAGGAAAACAGGGCACUUUCUAGGUAGUGGUAUGAAAUAAACCGAAAAGAUCCUUGACUUCGUGGAGUUCAUGGAACUGACAAAAGUUUUUAAUCUACAGGCAGAUGAUAAAACAUGAUGGAGGUCAGCAUCAAUACUUACAAGGCAUGUUGACGGCAUAUACAUGAGAUAUGAGAUGGUGAAAUUCACCUCUGCGGCCUUCCUCUCAGAAAAUCCUCAUCUCAAUCUAAUGAGAAAAGCAUCAGGUAAAUUCCAAUAGAGGAGCAUUCCACAAUAUUCCAUGUCAGAUUCCUCAAAACUGUGAAGGUCACCAAAAAUAAGGGAAGUGUGAUAAAAUGUCACAGCCAAGAGGAGCUUCAGGAGCCAAGACAACUCAUGUUGGAAUUCAGGAUGUAAUUUUGGAACAGAAAAAGGGAAGCUAAAGAAAUACGAAUAAACUCUGAACUUCAGUUAGUAAAAUAUAUCAAUAUUGGCUUGUUAAUUGUACAAAAUGUACUCUACAAAUGUAAGAAUAGUGAUAAUAGUAAUAAUUAGUAAUAAUAAGGGAAAGGAGAAUAGUGUAGAGCAACUCUGCACUAUCUCCUCAAUUUUUCUGUAAAUCUAAAACCAUUCUAAAAAUAGUCUGUGAAUUUUAAAGGAUCAUGGUCAAAAAACCCAAAAUUAAUUAAAAGAAAAGGUACCUACCAUCAGAUUUAACCACUGAUGGAAUGACAUCCCCUUCUAAAGAACAUACAAUAAUCAGAUAUAGCCAUUUUGCAAACUAAGGGGGAAAAUGAAUGCUCAUAAAGAAGGAUAAAGUGAUAGAUAAUCCCAUUUUAAAGAGGAGAUUGCAAAGCAAAGGUAACAGCAAGUACAAAAUCCCUGUGAGAAGAGAACAUGGAAAGUAGAGGAUGUGAAAGGGGGCUGGAGCCUCGAAAGUGAGAAGGGGCAUUCUCCAAAAUCAAAAAAGAAUAAAUAAAUGGAUAUUAGACUAUGCAGAGCCUAUAUGUUGGGAUAAAGUGUCUUGUCUUUGUCCCGAAUACAGUAAGUUACUGAAAGGUUUGAGUCAGAGACUUGGAGGGGGCUGGCGAAGAACAAGCACAUUUGAGCUAUGCAAAGAGGAUUCUAAUUGCAAUGGGGAAAAUGAGUAGAGACCGGGGAGGACAAGGUCCCAGCACUCUUCCUGUGACACCACGUACGUGUCAGAAGCUGUCCAGGAGAAUCCAUUCUCUCAUUCUUCCUACGCACAUGGCUGGUCUCCAUUUUCCAGAUCCCUUUGCAGGGAAGUGUGACCAUGUGACUAAGUUCAAGCCAGUAGAAUGUGAGCACAAGUGAAAUGUGCUUCACAAAGGGUAUUACUCAAGACCAGACAACGCCUGUUCCAUGCCUUCUUCUCCUCACUGCUGGCUGGAUGGCAGUGAGGAGAGCAAUAAUUCCAAGGUAACAGAGCAGCUUCUGCCUGGGUUCCUGAAGGACACAUGACAGGAGACAUUUACCAACCCAGAUGACAUAUCCAGACUGUCUUAGGAGGAAGAAGUAAACUUUCGUUUCUGAGUGUGACUUCAGCCCUGGGUCUGCCUGUCACAGCAAUUUAGCCUGCCGUAAUUAACUCAAUGAUUCUCUCUCUCUGUGUCUGUGCACACAUAGUAUGUCUCAUAGGGGUCAGUGGCUGUUGUAAACUGGGAAAACAACUAGCAAAUUCAUUAACUAGGGACUUGUGUAUAGUUUCAUUGCAUAAAGUAAUUACCUCUUAGUUUAUGUAAGCCCACAGUUCCUCCUAAACUGACAUUCUAUGAAAUAAUUGACUGAACCUCUCAAGUGUAAUGAACUGCACACUCAGGAAAUCUCCCACGAGAGGCCACACCUUAAAUACUUUCUACUCUAAGUGAGGCUAGUAAUUUUUUAAAAUGUCUAUGGAUGGCUUGGGAUUCCUCUAAUAUAAUAAGAAAAGUAUAAACAAGAUUCUAGGUUAUUAAUUUGCUAAUAGUUUUUCCCUUAGGCCAGGGUUAUUUCCUCAGCUGAAAUACUCCUUCAUUCACUAAAAAUGAUUUACUAACUGCCUACUCUAGAACCUGACUAAGGCACUUACUAGAGCAAAUAUUGGUAUGUUGGCUACUUGAUAUUGAAUAUACCCAAUUCUAAAGACUAAUGUGUAUUUCAGAAGCAUUAUUCUGAUUUGACUAGUAGACAGUCCAUAGGUUACAGUAAACAGCACAGUCAGAUCAUAGAUAGGGUUGGAAAUAGAAACAGAACUUAGUUUUCCCUCCCUCAAACAUGCUCAUCACCAGUUGUUUACUUGCUAUUGGUGACCACCUGAAUCAGAAUGCUUCUGGCUACAAGUAAAUAAAAUCCUAAACUCAAAACGGCUUAAAAAAUUACAAAAAUACCCUACGUAAUCUAGCAAAAAAGAAGUUCAGAGGUAAGGAGCCCUGAUGGCACCACUGAGGACCCAGAUUAUUUCUGUCUGUGGCAUCCUCUUCAGCACCUUGGCUUUUGUCCUCAAGAAUUGUCCCCUCAUAAUCCCGAGAUGACAACUACGUCCUCACAAAAGGACCAAAUACUCAAAGAAAAGGAGUACUUUCUUCUCUCAUAUUUCUUUUGAAGAGCAAGAAAAAACUUUUCCAGAGCUUGCCUGGAGAGUUUGUCCUGUGUCCUUUUGGCCAGAAUUGUAUCGCAUGAUCAGUCCUGAACCAGAUACUGGUAAAGGAAAUAGAAAUGUCAUGACUGACUUAGGUGAGUCAGGCUUCACCAGCUGGGGUGGGGGAUUGGCCCCCCCCAAUCGCCACAACAAAGUUGGCGUUCUCUUAAAGAGGAAAAAAGCAUAGAAUGGCUGUUGGGCAAGUGACUGCCAUUUCUACUCCACCAAUUGAUCCUCCAUAAUAUUUUAUAUCUUAAAAUGUCCUAGCAUUUCCAGCAUUCUUUAGUUCAAAAUUUUGAUGGAUAGAUGAUAGAUAGAUAGAUAAAUCAAAGAGAGAUCUUUUCUUUGUUUGCAAAGAUGAUGGUACUGAUUAUUACCUCUAUGUGCAGGUGCUGUUUUUUAAAUGUUUGCCAUAGAAGAAGCUACUGCAUUCCAACAUGUCUAUGAAAAAUAGCUAGAAAUUUUUGAAACCAAACAUAUUCAGUUCUUAAGGUGCUAGACUCAGAUUGAAUUAUUAGCACCAUUUCCUUUCUGCUGAAAUUUUGAUGACAUGGUCAUCAUUCAUUCAACCAAGUGUGGCCAUUUUAGAUUCAGUGAAGUGUCUUUAUUCACGGUGUCCUCACAUGGUCCUUUAUUUGUUAAAACUACUUCAAAAUAGAUAGGCUGAUAAAUCACCAGAACACUGCAAAGCAAAACUUAAGGGCCAGGACUAAACUGAGGAAAUAAACAAAAAGAUGAGGUAAUUACAGACUUGGGAAAUUCAUGAUGUAGUAUUAGAGGAAAACAUCUGUCAUUAAAUAUGAUAUGUGUUUUGUGGGAAAAAACGAUACACAAAUAAAAAGCAUUCAAGUAUAAUGGGAAUUCUCUGUUGAUGGUGAGGUUGCAGGUGAUUUUUAAAUUCUUUUCUGUAUCUUCCAUAUUUCAUUAACUUUUUUUUAACUAGUGAGAAAUGAACAUGGCUUCUGAUAGAUUGAUGCAACACCCUAGCCUGUUUUUUUUGCCAGCUUCUGGCCAACCCACCAGAAGCUUGGGCAUUUUCACUGUCCUCUCUGGAGCCAGUAUGGAGUCUUUUCAGCAGCAACCAUGAGAAAGCAGCAGGUGCUCUUCAGACCCAGGGAAGCACAAAAUGCUUCCCAGAAACAGCCCCUGUUCUGAAAAAGCUCCCAGUCUAAGUUGGAUACAAUGGCAGGUGCAUAGCUUUGGGUAGACACAUUGCCCUCAUGUGCUAAGAUGACUUCUAGAAGCCAGAUUCCACAGAGGAUUCUGCCACAAUAAACUGCGGGACGCUGGGCAUGCUGCAUUGCCCCCUGAACCUUGGGUUUAUUGUUAUAAAAUAGAUGGAUUGUCAAUAGGUUAAAAAAAAAAGAAAGUCAAUGUUGAGAAGUCUUUUCUUUAAACUCCAGAGACACUCUGACUUUAAAAAACUAGAAACUAGCCUUAGAAGGCGACGGUUAAAGAAUAUCUCAAAUUGGCUUAAAUUGAAACACGAGAUAUAUUCCCAUUAAAGCUGAAAAUGAGAUAAGGGUUGGAAUUAAUGAAUUAAUCGUAUAAGUACUUGUUUAAUGCCUGUCUCCCAGCCCAGGCAAUAGCUCUAGGAGGGCAGGGUCUGUCUCUGUCUUGUUCCAUGCUCUGUCUCCAAGGUCUAGCACAGCACCUGGCACAGGGUAAGUACAUCACAAAUGUUUUGUAGAUGGAAGAGGAGAAGGCAGACACACCCACAGGCUGGCUGUUUUCACCACUGGUGUUUCACUUUUCCUACCCCUAAAAUGAGACAACAUAGGGAAAUUAAAAGUGUAGUUAACACAAAGCUAAAAUCAUUAUUUAUAGAUAAUGAGAUUAUUACAUUGAAAACCCAUGAGAAAAUCUAUUCUAAAAAAUAUUUAAGAAGUCAGAUAAAAAAUAAAGACUAAAAACUAGAUUUUUCAAUGAAUUAAUAAUGAUUAGAAAAUAUGCCAGGAAAAAAAAUCUUUUACAAUAGUAACAAACAUACAAAAUACUUAAAGUGAAAAUAAGAAAAAGUAAAGAAUUUGUGUGAAGAAAAAUAUAAAAAAUGUCCUAAAGGGCAUUUUGCUAGAUGCAAAGUUUAAAUAUUGUAAAGAUACAAUUUGAAGUGUAAUUCCAUUGAAAAUCUCACAAUUUGUAUUAGUCUGAGGUCAACAUGAAUAGUGAAAAAAUAAUAAGAGGUAAAAAGGCUUUCUGGUUUAAAACACAAAGCUAAAAUACCUAAAAGUAUGUGUUAGAGCAAAAAUAACAGCCAAAUUAGUGAAACAGAACAGAAAACAACAUAAUAUUGAGAAUUUGUUUUAUGAUGAAAUUUACUUGGGUGGCUGAGUCUAUGAAUUUGGAAUCACUUAAUCCUGAAAUCCUCUCUCAGAUCUGCCUUUUGUAGUUAAGCAUUAUAAGCUAUCAAGCCUCAGUUCACUCAUCUAUAAAAUAGGAAUAAAAAUAUCUAUACUAGAAUGUAAUUGUAAGGAUCAAAUGAAAUGUGUAUUCAUUAAAAUUUUAAAUUCACUAAAAAUACUUAGCACAGUAUCUCAGUAUACAAUAAAGGGUAUUUAUUUUUAUGAUAUAUUUGAUAAACCAAUGGGAAAGUAAUCUACAAGAAAUGAUGCUGGGAAAAUUAUUGGCAAAAAAAUGUAUGUUUUAUGUUUAUGUAUUAUAUGUUACAUUUUCAGAGUAUACCAACAAGUUAAAGCAUUGAAUUAAAACUACAAAAUAGCUAGAAGAAAGUAUGAGUGACUCUUUUCCUGGUCUUGUGAUGGAGAGGGCUUUAACAAAUUAAUGAAACAACAUCACAAAGAACAGGCAAAAAAAAUAUUGAACUGUUCGUGUAGAAGAAAAUUUACCAUAAAUAAAAAGAAAAAAACUGAGAAAAAUAUUUACAAAAAUUGUGUGACAGGGAGUUAAUAACUUUAGUAUAUACACAGCUCCUUAAUAUCAAUACAAGAAAAUGCUAACAACUCAAUAGGAAGUUGCAAGUGGUCUGAACAAAUAAUUCACAAAUUAAAAAAAAAGAAGUAGAAAUUGUCAGCAAUAAUGACAAAGUUUUUAACUUUAUCAAUUCUGGCAUUUCUGAACGCUGUGUAUUUUUAGGGUAUUUGAAGCCAGAGAAAUCAAGAUUGGGAAACGCAGGAUUGAGAUUAUUGUGUACAUGACUUUGUCAGGAAAUGCCUAAAACUGAAUCAAAUAUGUGAAGAUGCAUCGUGCAGCUCCCAUUUAACACCUAUGUGUUCAGAAGUACUUUAAAUUUUUAGAUAUCAGAAUUCAUUUUUGGUAAAUAGCAAGCAACAUGCCCUCACUGUCUCUGCCACCCCAUGUUUUUCUCUAGUUUUGUAACAUGGUACAUGUGGCUUUCACACCUGACAAUAUCCAUGUCGUACAUGUUGAUCUGGGUGACAAUGAACUAAGCAGAUGAUAAAAGAUCCCUGAAUGAAAUAGAGAUCUAGUUCUGGGUCUUGCUAUCUCACCACCAGCUGCAAUCCAGGCCCUAAAUGAGGCAUAUCACUUCUCCAAAUGUAAGAGUUUCUCCCAAUUUGGUCUAUAAUUCCUGGACCCUACUCUAGCCCUUCAGAAUCAGAAGGCAGGUCUUGGAAAUUGGCACCUUUAACAAGUACCCUAAUUAAUGCUUAGGUACUUCAAAGUUUGAAAAAUACUGUACUGGUGGACCACCAAGCCCUUCUAAUGUUAAAAAUCAAGUAUUCUGAAGGAAAAAUAUGCAUGCUGAAUAGCAGCUCCACUCUGUACAUCUGAGAAUGGCUGCCCACCCCAACUCACAAAUUUGGAUUCUCAGAUCGUUGUUAUAUUUGAGUUGAUAUCUUUUUAGGUUUUGUUCUUCCAAUCUCACACAUCCAAUUACACUUGUAGCUGCCAGUCUUUGAACAUGCUUUCAGAAGGCAUAUAAAUUCAACCCUGAGUCCUUAUGAUUCAGACAUUUAAUCACACCAUAAAGUUAAUGGAACCCAAUUUGAAUGUAGACACCUCAACAGCCACAUUGCAUUGAAUUCAGAGCAUUCAUAAAAUGUGGGUCUCAAAAUGAAUCACCAGCCUAAUGGAAAGUUCAGAGAAGAACGCCUCCCUCUCAUUGGUCACUGUCCUAAUCUUCAGCUGCCAGGAAAAGGACUGGAGCUGUCAACACAACACUGUAGCCCAGGCAACCAGCCAUGCUGGUAGGAACUUUUCAACACUUAAAAAAAAAGUUACUAUAGAAACUUUCAGAUGCUCGUUAGAUUGUUUGGACCCUCUGUGGUUUAUAGCAGUAAUGACGCCUUGGGGCCAGACGUUGCCUAUCAACCUAGGACCUCCGCUCAUUCACAGCCCAGAAAUGAGUUGCUUUUGGGGUGCUUCAGAUAUAAAUUGUGUUCUUCCAGUGCUGCAUGGUCUCUGGGGAAAAAGGAAAUAGAUACUGUGUUUCCAAGACCCCAGUAAUCCAUUACUUAAACAACAGAAAAAUAAUAAUAGCAGUGGCCAUCCAAACAUCCAGAUGUGGUCGCAGCGAUGUUUGUCUUCCACUGGGUGAAGACAUCUGGGUGAUUGAUUCUGAGCUUUCCAUCCAGAUGUUCAACCACAGUGGCAAGUCCACUUCGAACUGAAGCUGGAAGGGGUGUGCAGUUAUCAAGGAGGUACCCAUUUGAGCUCCUUUUAUUGGAAAUGUCUUUUCCCCUUAGUUUUUUUUCCAUCUUGGGUAGAAUGGUUUUGUAUGAAAGAACCUUAGGAUCCACAGAACUGCUUAGAUCAAACUUCUCAACUAUGCUUUCUGUUCAAGUUUCCAUAGCCAGUGCUAAGUUAAGUGGAAGGAAGACCCAAUCCUUUCUUACAUUUUUAGACAGCUGCUGGAAUUCACUCCAUUCUUAAAAAGUUAUUUACCUGAAGUAGGAACUUUGCACGUAAGGGAAGGAGGCAGGGCUCUCAAAAUGGCUUGUGUACUUUUUGAGUCUAGUGUGCUGAACUACAAAUUUAAUCCACUGAAGUGGUUUCAUGCAAACGCUCCUCUCAAAUUCCUUUUGUACAAAAUCUUGAUGCAUAAUGUAUAGAGUCUGAAAAUGGAUUAAGCUACAUUUGGAGAUGGUUUGAGUUGAGGUUUUUUUUAAAGCAGGCAAAAACAAGCAGGUUUUUCUGUUGUAGCCUUUUUUAACCCUUCUUGCUCAAGCAAUCACAUUGAAUCGUAUCUUCUCAAAGCUGCCUUCCACACAAUGUUUCUUGUCUUUUUUUUCCUGUCAAAAAGCUUGAAAUGUAAAACGUUUUAAUUAGAAAUGUGAAGAGUGAAUUGGACUCAGUUCCCUCAGAUUUCCUGACUAAAGCAAGCAAAUAGAAUAGUAAAACCUUUUGAUUUACUCCUGGCAGAUAAUUCAGCAACCAAAUAAGCAGAUGAGUGAAAUCUUGCUGAAUAAAAUGUUUCCUGGUACGCCACAAUCUUAAUUACCCUGAGGACUGUGGCCAUAGAUAGAAUGCCAAUCUGUAUGUCAUGGGGAGCAGAUGUAGUAAAUGCUCAGAGACAUAUUUCUUCCAGAGCCAAUCAAGGCCAGAAAGAGGAAAAAGGAGAUGGCCAGGGGGGUUGCCAGAGUCUCCAAAGGCAUCACAGAGACUUGGCUGCCAUUGCAGGUUUCAGUGGGUCAGUCAUUUCUAAUGAAAUAAUGCUGUACUUCAUGAUUGCUUAUUUUUACAUAUCAUUUGAAUACUAUGUAAAUUGUCCUGGAAAGAGAAUUGCAGCUCAAAUGAGGAGAUCUGGGCUCAAGUCCUAAGUCUGACCCUGCACAGUCAUGUGACAUUAAACUCACUUGCUCUCCCUGGUUUCAGUUUCAUCAUCUGUCAAGUGAGGAGAGCCGUCCUCCCUCCAGCUCCCCAUCUGUGUGCGGGGCCCUGGAGAGGAACAAGUGAGAUAAGUGGGGAGGUACUUCUCAAGCUUUGGGGGUGCUACUGAAUUCCUUGCUUUGGAUGAACUCCUGUUUUCUCCUCAGACAGUGGUGGCAUCCUUGACUGUUCACCCACAUCCUUCUUCAUCCAGGGGUCCCCCAAGCCAAGGGCGAAGUGAACAGGCUGCUCUGAGAGGAGACUUCCAGCUGCUGCACAGCUGACCACUUCCAGUGGGCUCCACGUCUGCCACCUCAACAAGAGCUUUUAAGCUGACAUGGCCUUACCCCGACACGUAAAAACAUGGCUUCAGAUAAAUACAGAAUGACAUCCUCCAGCCCAGCAUGUCUCAUGGCCUCCAUUCUGAACCCUCGUCUUGACCCACCUUGUUCCUGACCUUGUGACUAGCAUUUUUGCUGCUGUUUGCCUCACCUCUCCAGAUAGUUCCAGUGCUCUGGUUUGGGCCUUUGGAUUCUCUUCUCCAUCAAGAUUUAAUUGAUUCACUUUUAACCACAUUCCCUUUACCCACUCCACCUUGGUCCCAGGACCUUACACCCCAGCCUUGUGAAUGGGACACAGACAAAGAGAAGAUUUUAUAUGCAGCGUAGGAGCUGAGAUGCACCUCCCCAAACAGGCAGCAUAAGGAUUUCUGCCAGCACUGGGGACAUUUUCUCUUUUGGUGCUGCAGGCUUAGAACAAGUGGGCAAUUUCAAAUUCUAUGGACAGGUAUCUUGGGAGAAGGCAAUGAGAGGAAAAGAGGUAGCUUUCCCCCAACUCACCUCACCUUCCUACGUUAAAUGUUAGCACACACCAGCAUAUGUCAACACACAAGGGAACCAUGUCCUGUUUGUGCUUCUCCAUUUGACCUUGAUUCACUGAAUGGAGUGUUGAAUGAGAAAAGAAGACUGACUCAAAUUCAAAUUCAAAUUCAAAUGCAUUCCUCCCGGUUUCACAAUAACAUAGACUUUACCAAGCUUUAAAAAAAAAAAAUUCGACAAUGUAGUGAGGGCAAGACCUUGCCAGUUUUGUUCAUUGGAAUAUUCUAGAACUUAGCACACAGAAGGUGCUUAAAAAAUACUUGUUACCUGAACAAAUCCAUGGGAAGAGAGAAAAAAUGAUAUCUGAAAGAUUUCUUAUUAUCUGAUGCUGAUAGAGAGUAAAGUUAAUGAUUUAGAGAACAAGUAUCCAGCAGUAGAGCUUGCUAAUACCUUUUAAAAUGUGUUGAUGCUCAUAAAUCCAAAAUAAACGACCUGUAAAAUCACUUAAGAAGAAAUAAUACGCAUUUAAUCAGGCUUCCAGAGGAAAGUCUGAGGGAAAAGCCGAGAAUUUCAAGAAGAAUUAUUAAAUCCCUUCAAAUUCAAGCGCUGGCCGAUCACAGACAGGCCACAUGUCCCUCUGCCCUCAGGGCUGUCACUUUAGGAGGUCUCGCUCAGCCCUUCGUUAUGAAAGUCCUAAAUGACAGCCACCUCCUGGAGCCAGUGGGAAAGGCUUUGGAUCAGCUAGAAAGGGUAAGUCCCCAUACAGGUCUACCCAGCACGCUUUGCCACAUUCCACGGAGGGAUCUUAAAUAAAGGGGGAGAAAUUGGACACGUCACCCACGUCCUAAAGCGCAGCAUCUUCAAAGUCUUACUUGGGGCUUUCACUUCAAGUCAAAGGGCUCUUCCUCUGGCCAAUAAAAUUCAGAACACUCUGAACUGCUGGCCUGUGCCUCUGCUUUAUAAUCCUGUUGAAGUCUGGGGACUCUAACCAUGUUCUGGUACCUUCCAUUCCAUCCUGGAUUUUACCUCUUAGUCGGCUAAUGACAGUGACUUUACCUUUCCUGGGGUUUGAUUGAGGUCCUGAGGGUGGUAGUAAAAUGGAUUCAUCUUUUUGUUACAAACUCAAUUAGCAGAAGUUGGAAUUGCUCUCUUCUACAAACUUAAAUAAAUUGUUAAUGAGAAAUUUACCAUCACUUGAUUCGCUAGUUGCCUUAUUAGCUUGGAGUCAAUGCUAUUAAAAGAGAAGAUGUUUAUUAAAGCUUAAGGUGUCUGCUGGAUGGAAUAUUAAAAAGAAGGUGGCGGGAUAGUGCCAUGGACUGCCUGCCUCCAAAACCCAGGAGUUGCCAUGAUCCAAAGUGAACAACCUUGAGCCCUCAUUUGGGGUCUUCUCAUCAGGGAAAUAGUGAUUUACCUGGUAGACAGAAGGGCCACACAUCCCUGGGAUGCAUCUGAAGCUUCCCUUUUCAGCAACUGUCAUGAGAGUGCUUUCUCAGCCCAGUGGACAUGAGCCUGAAGGAAGGCCAUCCAGUUGCACAUGAGUCUGAACAUCUUUGCUCUUCUGGUAAGGAAGGAACUAAACCACCCCACCAUAAACGUCAGAGAUGUAGGGGAAGGAGGCUGUUUAUUUACUCAGGAAAGUUCAUACACAGACCUCAAAACCACUGCCCAGAGAAAGCCAUUGUGUCUCCCUGAUGUGGCAUUCCUAAAAUGCCUCAUCUUAACAACCAGGACCAGCUCUGAGCAGAGCUAUGAGAUCAGUCGAGGUUGUCUUUAGCCCCUUCUCCGUUUCUCUCCCCAAAAUGCUCUCCUGCACACACCCCUCCCCACCAUGUAGCCCUUGUGGUAGAAUCCGCAGGCUGGUUCACUCUCAUCCACCCCAACUCCUUCAGAGCCACUGUUUGGACCUGCAGAGGCUGACAAGGUAAAUGGUCUUAUUUCCCAGGGCACUCUGCAGCUUAGCUUCCAAAUGAGACCUCACUUCGGCCUAGCAGACACCCAGGACAUUCCAAAUCUGGAAGUGGACAUCGAGGUGGAAGCUGCGCUCUCCUACUUCUGCUAACCAGCACCUUGUGGAGACAUGUGGGAACUCUAACAGAGGGCCCAGGGUCCACACUCUAGCUCUGUGACUAUUGACAGGCAAGUCAAGGGCUCUUUUGUUGGUGUAGGGUGGUAUAGACAUGGUGACAUAAGAGCCAGCAGUAGUAGAGGACACUUCCUUCUUCACCAACUUGAUCAUGACAGAGGCAGAAGCUGCCUCGGUGGGCUAGUUCUAAGGUGGUGUUCUGGGGUGUGACUCCUGGAAGUUCUGCCGAAAGCCUCUUCCUCCAGCCCUUUUAGGGAUUUUUGUAAACUCCCUGUUCCUUGCAUGAAGUCCAUUUCUGCUAAAAAUAGUAGACUGAAUUCUGUUAUCUACAGUUAAACUCUGACAGAGACACUUUCUGUCUAUAUAACCAACCAAGUGCUUUAAUGCUCGCCCCCUCCACCAUCUUCACAGAUUAAACGAGUUGAUAAACUAAUUCACAAUAAGUAGUUAAUAACUAAUAAAGUAACUUCUUAUGGGUACUUGCCUUCACUAAAGAAGAAAGAUUCCAACGGUGUAUUUCCAACCAUAAAUGGCUUAUAGUGUUGAUAGGAUUUUUUUUUUCCUGGACAAGGAGGCAAAGGUUUUUUUAAUGGUAAAGAAGUUGUCGGUUGGUAAAACGAUGGAGAUGAUAAUGGUGGUGGUGAGGUUUAAAAGCAUGAGAGCUUGUUUAACUUGUAAGGCUCACUGGGCUGACCUCUCCAACUCCUCCCAACCCCCACUCAACCUCUAACCAGGGCUGGAAACACCACGGUCAUUUUCUGGCCUCUCAUUGCAGACCUCUCCUACUGAGCACUCUGUGAAAUCAGAAUUCUCCCAAGAAAGAGAAAACCUGCAUCAUAAGUGGAUGAACAAGAGUUCCAGAAAGUCGAUAACAUGCUCUCAGAGAGAAGACAAAGAAGAAGGCAGGUGAAGGAGGCAGCUGGAUGGAGAGAUGGUGAUUGAUGGUGUCUACACAUCCACAGACAUUCCUGGAACAGCUACUCUGGUAAGGCUCCACCCCAACACUUGUGCAGAGGCAAGGCUCACCCUGGCCUGCAGGAGUUCACGACAUGGGUGAAUACGCUAGGUUUCAUAACCCCUUAUAGAAGGAGAUGGACAUGACACCAGUACUCACACAGAAUGUUCUCAGUUACAACUGAGGCACUGCUACAAAGGGAAACCAUAGCACACUGUCUGAUUGGAGAAGAAGAGUUGGCAAAACUCAGUCUGGGGCUUCGUGGAAUGCUUCCCAGAAGAAAGGGCUGAAUCCUGGGGGCUGAGCAUGAGUUAGCCAGCUAUAAGAAGCAGCACCAGCAAAGGCCCUGAGCUCUGUUUUAGGAAGACGCAGAUUAGCAAUGCCAAAGAGCCAACUGUUUUGAAGCAACCCUCUCGUCAAUGUGACCGCAAAUUCCCAGUAUCGGCUGAAAGGUGGAUUGCAGUUGGGAAAGGAAUUGGGGCCAUGAACAGGAUGCCCCGAGGAGAAGAAACGGUAAUGAUUUGGAAGAAGAUGGUGGAGAAAAAGAAGUUAGAGAUGCAUGGAAGAAUUUGGGCCUCCCUCUGAGAAACAGCAAAGUCAAGAGGAGGAACCAAAUGUGGUGUCAAUUUAGAAACCACGGUUUGGAUUUUGAAUAAACUUGAUGUGAUGUGGUUCUUGGUGAAUCCCAGCAGAAAUAUCAAGUCUUAGGUACUGCCUGGAUUACUUUGGUAUUUAGAGGCAGAUGCUUCUCCUAGAAACAAUAAUAUGAGAAGGUUUCAGAAAGGGAUUCUUUAGCCCUGGCCCACUCUGCACUGGUUAGACCACAUCGAGAACAGUGUGGAUGUACAAUUCUAUCACCUGAACCCUGUCCAUUUUUCAUGUUGUUUUCUAAUACAGACCAGACUAGUUGGAGUGUCUACAGACAAGAGUGGUCAAGAUGAUAAAACGUCUGGACAGCAGUUAACACCCUAGAGAUGUUUCGCCCUGAAAAGAAUGACUUAAAGAAGAUACGACAGCACUGAAGAUCUGUUAUGUGAAGAGGAUUUGAUGAGAGGCUCCAAGGGAGUUACAGGGAGUGGGGAGAUAACCUUCACAAGUGUUGUUCCUAGAAUUGUUAGCUCUCCAAAGGCAUUUGGGGAAAGGGACUUUUUUUUUUCUUAGAAGCAAAUGGAAGUUUCCUUUCCUUUCUAAUAAGGACAUUAAAAAAUAAGCAAACAAACAAACCUGGAUUUCUGGACACUCGAAAGUAUGUUUCUUACACACCUAGGCCUAGAACACAGGUUAACAUGUUCCAGGAGGAACACAGGAUUUCUAGCAGGCAGUUGCAUUCAAGGCAUGGUAACAAAAUCAAAGACAAGACGGUCCCACACACAUCUUAGCACAGGCACGUGCUCUGCAUCCAGGCUCACAGACUAGGAUAACACUUCUGUAACAAGAUUGCCUUUGUCACUCAGCACCUUUUGUCUCCUUUUAUUCACUUCACUGUCUUCCGGUUGUAAUUUUAUCUGGAGAUCGAAUCAAGCUGUAGCCUUCUUAUGGAAUACGCCCCCAGACACUCACCCAAGAGUAGUUUGGGCAAAGUUUUCAGUAUCAGGAAUAAAAAUGUUGAAAUUGAAAGAGAAGUAGAGCUAUGUGGAAACAUACACAUGGCAAAGAGAGGCUGCCCACCUAAUGAGAGUGGAGGAAAAAAAAA